This 434-nucleotide ribosomal RNA is filed under the name uncultured bacterium. Its description in RNAcentral is "partial 16S ribosomal RNA". It matches the Rfam family "Bacterial small subunit ribosomal RNA", at positions 29 to 507 of the family's 1533-position model. The record is from RNAcentral.
AGCGAACGCUGGCGGCAGGCCUAACACAUGCAAGUCGAACGAACCUUUCGGGGUUAGUGGCGGACGGGUGAGUAACAUGUGGGAACGUGCCUUUAAGUUCGGAAUAACUCAGGGAAACUUGUGCUAAUACCGAAUGUGCCCUUCGGGGGAAAGAUUUAUCGCCUUUAGAGCGGCCCGCGUCUGAUUAGCUAGUUGGUUGAGGUAAUGGCUCACCAAGGCGACGAUCAGUAGCUGGUCUGAGAGGAUGAUCAGCCACAUUGGGACUGAGACACGGCCCAAACUCCUACGGGAGGCAGCAGUGGGGAAUCUUGCGCAAUGGGCGAAAGCCUGACGCAGCCAUGCCGCGUGAAUGAUGAAGGUCUUAGGAUUGUAAAAUUCUUUCACCGGGGACGAUAAUGACGGUACCCGGAGAAGAAGCCCCGGCUAACUUCGUG